Molecule: ribosomal RNA, 819 nt
Filed under: Coniochaeta sp.
Lineage: Eukaryota; Fungi; Ascomycota; Sordariomycetes; Coniochaetales; Coniochaetaceae
Description: partial large subunit ribosomal RNA
Rfam family: Eukaryotic large subunit ribosomal RNA
Source: RNAcentral
CAGGGAUUGCCCUAGUAACGGCGAGUGAAGCGGCAACAGCUCAAAUUUGAAAUCUGGCUUCGGCCCGAGUUGUAAUUUGUAGAGGAUGCUUUUGGUGAGGUGCCUUCUGAGUUCCCUGGAACGGGACGCCAGAGAGGGUGAGAGCCCCGUAUAGUCGGCCACCGAUCCUUUGUAAAGCUCCUUCGACGAGUCGAGUAGUUUGGGAAUGCUGCUCAAAAUGGGAGGUAUAUCUCUUCUAAAGCUAAAUAUAGGCCAGAGACCGAUAGCGCACAAGUAGAGUGAUCGAAAGAUGAAAAGCACUUUGAAAAGAGGGUUAAAUAGCACGUGAAAUUGUUGAAAGGGAAGCGCUUGUGACCAGACUUGUGCCGGGCUGAUCAUCCAGUGUUCUCACUGGUGCACUCGACCCGGCUCAGGCCAGCGUCGGUUUUCGUGGGGGGAUAAAAGCUUCGGGAACGUGGCACCUUCGGGUGUGUUAUAGCCCGUUGCUUAAUACCUCCGUGGAGACCGAGGUUCGCGCUCUGCAAGGACGCUGGCAUAAUGGUCAUCAGCGACCCGUCUUGAAACACGGACCAAGGAGUCGAGGUUUUGCGCGAGUGUUUGGGUGUAAAACCCGCACGCGUAAUGAAAGUGAACGUAGGUGAGAGCUUCGGCGCAUCAUCGACCGAUCCUGAUGUAUUCGGAUGGAUUUGAGUAAGAGCGUAAAGCCUCGGACCCGAAAGAUGGUGAACUAUGCCUGAAUAGGGUGAAGCCAGAGGAAACUCUGGUGGAGGCUCGCAGCGGUUCUGACGUGCAAAUCGAUCGUCAAAUUUGGGCAUGGGG